ACGGGGGGAGCAAGCGUUGUUCGGAUUUACUGGGCGUAAAGGGCGCGUAGGCGGCGUGACAAGUCACUUGUGAAAUCUCCGGGCUCAACUCGGAGCGGUCAGGGGAAACUGCCGUGCUUGAGUGUGGGAGAGGUGCGUGGAAUUCCCGGUGUAGCGGUGAAAUGCGUAGAUAUCGGGAGGAAUACCGAUGGCGAAGGCAGGUCUCUGGGCUGACGCUGACGCUCAUGCACGAAAGCGUGGGGAGCAAACAGGA
This 253-nucleotide ribosomal RNA is filed under the name uncultured prokaryote. Its description in RNAcentral is "partial 16S ribosomal RNA". It matches the Rfam family "Bacterial small subunit ribosomal RNA", at positions 525 to 777 of the family's 1533-position model. The record is from RNAcentral.